Molecule: ribosomal RNA, 409 nt
Filed under: bacterium
Lineage: Bacteria
Description: partial 16S ribosomal RNA
Rfam family: Bacterial small subunit ribosomal RNA
Source: RNAcentral
UGGGGAAUAUUGCACAAUGGGCGAAAGCCUGAUGCAGCGACGCCGCGUGAGGGAUGACGGCCUUCGGGUUGUAAACCUCUUUCAGUAGGGACGAAGCGCAAGUGACGGUACCUGCAGAAGAAGCACCGGCUAACUACGUGCCAGCAGCCGCGGUAAUACGUAGGGUGCGAGCGUUGUCCGGAAUUACUGGGCGUAAAGAGCUCGUAGGCGGUUUGUCACGUCGUCUGUGAAAUCCUAGGGCUUAACCCUGGACGUGCAGGCGAUACGGGCUGACUUGAGUACUACAGGGGAGACUGGAAUUUCUGGUGUAGCGGUGGAAUGCACAGAUAUCAGGAAGAACACCGAUGGCGAAGGCAGGUCUCUGGGUAGUAACUGACGCUGAGGAGCGCAAGCAUGGGUAGCGAACAGG